RNAcentral lists this ribosomal RNA (457 nucleotides) under uncultured bacterium. RNAcentral's name for it is "bacterial SSU rRNA". It matches the Rfam family "Bacterial small subunit ribosomal RNA", at positions 340 to 786 of the family's 1533-position model. The record is from RNAcentral.
UACGGAAGGCAGCAGUGGGGAAUAUUGCACAAUGGGCGAAAGCCUGAUGCAGCUAUGCCGCGUGUAUGAAGAAGGCCUUAGGGUUGUAAAGUACUUUCAUCGGGGAGGAAAAAACAAAACUAAUAAUUUUAUUUCUUGACGUUACCCGAAAAAGAAGCACCGGCUAACUCCGUGCCAGCAGCCGCGGUAAUACGGAGGGUGCUAGCGUUAAUCAGAAUUACUGGGCGUAAAGAGCACGUAGGUGGUUUUUUUAAAGUCAGAUGUGAAAUCCCUGGGCUUAACCUAGGAACUGCAUUUUGAAACUGAAAUACUAGAGUAUCGUAGAGGGAGGUAGAAUUCUAGGUGUAGCGGUGAAAUGCGUAGAUAUCUGGAGGAAUACCUGUGGCGAAAGCGGCCUCCUAAACGAAUACUGACACUGAGGUGCGAAAGCGUGGGGAGCAAACAGGGAUUAGACACC